Molecule: ribosomal RNA, 875 nt
Filed under: uncultured bacterium
Lineage: Bacteria
Description: bacterial SSU rRNA
Rfam family: Bacterial small subunit ribosomal RNA
Source: RNAcentral
GCUCAGGAUGAACGCUGGCGGCGUGCCUAAUACAUGCAAGUCGAACGAGAUGCUUUUGUAGCAAUACGAGAGUAUUCUAGUGGCGAACGGGUGAGUAACGCGUUGGUGACCUACCCCAAAGUGUGGGAUAACAGUCCGAAAGGAUUGCUAAUACCGCAUGUGGUCUUCGGAUUUAGAAACUGAUGACUAAAGGAGCAAUUCGCUUUGGGAGGGACCUGCGUCCCAUCAGCUAGUUGGUGAGGUAAUGGCUCACCAAGGCGACGACGGGUAGGGGACCUGAGAGGGUGGCCCCCCACAAUGGAACUGAAACACGGUCCAUACACCUACGGGUGGCAGCAGUAGGGAAUAUUGCUCAAUGGGCGAAAGCCUGAAGCAGCAACGCCGCGUGUGCGAUGAAGGCCUUCGGGUCGUAAAGCACUUUUCUGAGAGAUGAGAAAGGACAGUAUCUCAGGAAUAAGUCUCGGCUAACUACGUGCCAGCAGCCGCGGUAAAACGUAGGAGGCAAGCGUUAUCCGGAUUCACUGGGCGUAAAGCGCGUGCAGGCGGUGCGGUAAGUUGGGCGUGAAAUCUCCCGGCUCAACUGGGAUAGGUCGUCCAAUACUACCGUACUUGAGAGCAGAAGAGGAAAAUGGAAUUCCCGGUGUAGUGGUGAAAUGCGUAGAUAUCGGGAGGAACACCAGUGGCGAAGGCGAUUUUCUGGUCUGUUUCUGACGCUCAGACGCGACAGCUAGGGUAGUAAACGGGAUUAGAGACCCCGGUAAUCCUAGCCGUAAACGAUGUGAACUUGGCGUUGGUGGGUUAAACUCCAUCAGUGCCGUAGCAAACGCGAUAAGUUCACCGCCUGGGGACUACGGCCGCAAGGUUAAAACUCAAAU